Cornus florida is the source of this 109-nucleotide small nucleolar RNA. RefSeq annotates it as small nucleolar RNA snoR109. Lineage: Eukaryota; Viridiplantae; Streptophyta; Magnoliopsida; Cornales; Cornaceae. The transcript has a single exon. The record is from RefSeq and is a predicted model, not a curated record.
UGGCUGUAAGUAUGUCGAUCUAACGGCUGAGAAGUUAACUGGCCGGUUGUUGUUUGAGGUUUGUUAAGAAUCUCCAUCAACAUAUCUGCUUACUGAACUUCUUACAUGU